UAACUGAAAUUUCUUAAGCAUUGGAGGACUUGUUUCUGCUAUCCCUCCUAAUCAAAUAAAAAGCUCUCCAAGAGCAGGCAUCAGUCCCUAGAAGGUUCUCCUUGUGGACAGCCUUUCCCACUCAGGCAAAGUGGUCCAUUUACAUAGAAAUGAUCCUUUUAGAAGGUGUUUUGUGAUUUUCAAUUGUCCCUCGAAAUAAAAAUCACAGCUCCUGUCUCACCUUGGUUGAAGUGUUUUCACACUACCCAGGCUGGAGUACAGUGGCACAAUCUCAGCCCACUGCAACAUCCGUCCCAGGUUCAAGCAAUUCUCCUGCCUCAGCCUCCCAAAUAGCCAAGAUUACAGGCACGUGCCACCGUGCCUGGCUAACACCAUUCCCCACUCUUGAUGAUUGAUUCUGAUCAACCUGCAUAUUUCAUGCGCUGCCUCCCUGCCUCAAAUAAAUAAAUCAGGGCCUCCUCUGAGCAGCAGGACCUGAUUGGGGCAUCUGCAGGGCUCAGGACUUCAAAAGGCCAAAGCAGGGAUGCUGGAGCCCCCCAGCAGAUUCUGCUAAUGUGACAUUUAGGGGCCGGGUGACCCAGGUAAGCAACAGCCGCUUGCGCAGUGUGAUGCCCCCUAAAUGGCGAGGACCCUUGUGGGGAGAAGGAAGUGACUUUUACAGCCCCUGUUUCCACCACCCACGGUCAGAGGAACACAGGCAGAAGUGUGGCCCAGGGGAUUCCCUGUUCUGUUUUCUGAAUGUUUCUAAGGGCCAGCAGUGCACCUG
This 766-nucleotide long non-coding RNA is filed under the name Homo sapiens (human). Its description in RNAcentral is "non-protein coding lnc-TBC1D2-2:1". Lineage: Eukaryota; Metazoa; Chordata; Mammalia; Primates; Hominidae. The record is from RNAcentral.